Molecule: ribosomal RNA, 263 nt
Filed under: uncultured bacterium
Lineage: Bacteria
Description: partial 16S ribosomal RNA
Rfam family: Bacterial small subunit ribosomal RNA
Source: RNAcentral
GUCCACGCCGUAAACGAUGUCAACUAGCCGUUGGGAGUCUUGAACUCUUAGUGGCGCAGCUAACGCAUUAAGUUGACCGCCUGGGGAGUACGGCCGCAAGGUUAAAACUCAAAUGAAUUGACGGGGGCCCGCACAAGCGGUGGAGCAUGUGGUUUAAUUCGAAGCAACGCGAAGAACCUUACCAGGCCUUGACAUCCAAUGAACUUUCCAGAGAUGGAUUGGUGCCUUCGGGAGCAUUGAGACAGGUGCUGCAUGGCUGUCGU